GAUGAACGCUGGCGGCGUGCCUAAUACAUGCAAGUCGAGCGAACGGACGAGAAACUUGCUUCUCUGAUGUUAGCGGCGGACGGGUGAGUAACACGUGGAUAACCUACCUAUAAGACUGGGAUAACUUCGGGAAACCGGAGCUAAUACCGGAUAAUAUUUUGAACCGCAUGGUUCAAAAGUGAAAGACGGUCUUGCUGUCACUUAUAGAUUGAUCCGCGCUGCAUUAGCUAGUUGGUAAGGUAACGGCUUACCAAGGCAACGAUGCAUAGCCGACCUGAGAGGGUGAUCGGCCACACUGGAACUGAGACACGGUCCAGACUCCUACGGGAGGCAGCAGUAGGGAAUCUUCCGCAAUGGGCGAAAGCCUGACGGAGCAACGCCGCGUGUGUGAUGAAGGUCUUCGGAUCGUAAAACUCUGUUAUUAGGGAAGAACAUAUGUGUAAGUAACUGUGCACAUCUUGACGGUACCUAAUCAGAAAGCCACGGCUAACUACGUG
Molecule: ribosomal RNA, 497 nt
Filed under: uncultured bacterium
Lineage: Bacteria
Description: partial 16S ribosomal RNA
Rfam family: Bacterial small subunit ribosomal RNA
Source: RNAcentral